Molecule: ribosomal RNA, 468 nt
Filed under: uncultured bacterium
Lineage: Bacteria
Description: partial 16S ribosomal RNA
Rfam family: Bacterial small subunit ribosomal RNA
Source: RNAcentral
UAGGGAAUCUUCCACAAUGGACGAAAGUCUGAUGGAGCAACGCCGCGUGAGUGAUGAAGGGUUUCGGCUCGUAAAACUCUGUUGUUGGAGAAGAACAGGUGUGAGAGUAACUGUUCACAUCUUGACGGUAUCCAACCAGAAAAGCCACGGCUAACUACGUGCCAGCAGCCGCGGUAAUACGUAGGUGGCAAGCGUUGUCCGGAUUUAUUGGGCGUAAAGCGAGCGCAGGCGGUUCUUUAGGUCUGAUGUGAAAGCCUUCGGCUUAACCGGAGAAGUGCAUCGGAAACCAGGAGACUUGAGUGCAGAAGAGGACAGUGGAACUCCAUGUGUAGCGGUGAAAUGCGUAGAUAUAUGGAAGAACACCAGUGGCGAAGGCGGCUGUCUGGUCUGUAACUGACGCUGAGGCUCGAAAGCAUGGGUAGCGAACAGGAUUAGAUACCCUGGUAGUCCAUGCCGUAAACGAUGAGU